AGUGGAUGGUUGGUUGAAUAGUAUAAUCUAACGGCUGGAAAUGAUCUACCCGUAGAAAAUUCGAUAAUGUCAAGAGAUUGAUAAUAUCAAUAGUAUAGUAGUCGGUCUCUCUCUCUCUCUCUCUCUCUCUCUCUCUCUUUCAUUCUCUCAUUCUCUCUCUCUCUAUAUAUAUAGAAUUAGGCUACUAUACUAUCUAUAGUACCAGAGCUCCGGUACUAUAGUCUUGUUUUCGAUCUUAGGGUGUUUAAAUUAACGAUCCACACCGUUAAAUAUGAUUUAGGGUAUAUAAAGUUCUUAGGAAUAAAAUUUUAGUUUUUUUCGACAUCGUUUACUUAGUAAAUAAAUUAUGUCAAAAUGGACGGUGGAAAUUGAAUAAUCUUUAAAAUUUGAGCAUAGGACUUUUAAAUUCAAGAUCAAGAAUGUUAACCUUAAUCUAGAUAGUUUAAAGUAUUUUCUAUCAAAAUUUGAAGAAAUUUAAAUUCUUCUACACCGUUAAACUCCAAACUCGCCAUAGUAGCCAUUGAAAAUUAACAAUUUUGAAAUGAUUUGAUCAUAAAGUAAACUAUAUUGAAAAAAUAUAAAAUUUUAUUUCUAAAAACUUUAAAUACCCUAGAUCAGUCUUAACGGUGUGGAUCGUUGAUUUGAACACCCUAAGAUCGAAAACGAGAUUGUAGUACCGGAGCCCCGAGACUAUUGAUAGUAUAGAAGACUAGCUCUAUAUAUAUAUAUAUAUAUGGUUAAUUUCUUAC
Molecule: long non-coding RNA, 749 nt
Filed under: Ananas comosus (pineapple)
Lineage: Eukaryota; Viridiplantae; Streptophyta; Magnoliopsida; Poales; Bromeliaceae
Description: long non-coding RNA (ACOM_LNC043474)
Source: RNAcentral